Molecule: small nuclear RNA, 196 nt
Filed under: Sus scrofa (pig)
Lineage: Eukaryota; Metazoa; Chordata; Mammalia; Artiodactyla; Suidae
Also listed under: 1 other name
Description: U2 spliceosomal RNA (multiple genes)
Rfam family: U2 spliceosomal RNA
About the family: U2 is a small nuclear RNA (snRNA) component of the spliceosome (involved in pre-mRNA splicing). Complementary binding between U2 snRNA (in an area lying towards the 5' end but 3' to hairpin I) and the branchpoint sequence (BPS) of the intron results the bulging out of an unpaired adenosine, on the BPS, which initiates a nucleophilic attack at the intronic 5' splice site, thus starting the first of two transesterification reactions that mediate splicing.
Source: RNAcentral
AUCGCUUCUCGGCCUUUUGGCUAAGACCAAGUGUAGAAUAUAUUAGUACCAUUAAUUAUGAGAAACAUCUUGCUGCCUUUCUUUUUUUUUCAGGGGGUGGGGGGUGUAUGUAAACAAACAAAAAGCCAAAUCUGUACCUUUCUACCCAAUGUAAAGAACUUGUUUUAGGAGUACUGACAUUUAUGUGCAACAUAUC